This 69-nucleotide transfer RNA is filed under the name Marmota monax (woodchuck). Its description in RNAcentral is "tRNA.Thr". Lineage: Eukaryota; Metazoa; Chordata; Mammalia; Rodentia; Sciuridae. The record is from RNAcentral.
GGGGGUAGCUCAGUGGCAGAGCACUUGCCUGGUAUGCACAAGGCCCUAAGUUCCAACCCCAGCACCUCA